This 562-nucleotide ribosomal RNA is filed under the name Lactiplantibacillus plantarum. RNAcentral's name for it is "bacterial SSU rRNA". It matches the Rfam family "Bacterial small subunit ribosomal RNA", at positions 860 to 1411 of the family's 1533-position model. Lineage: Bacteria; Bacillati; Bacillota; Bacilli; Lactobacillales; Lactobacillaceae. The record is from RNAcentral.
UUAAGCAUUCCGCCCUGGGGGAGUACGGGCCGCAAAGGGCUGAAACUCCAAAGGAAUUAGACGGGGGGGCCGCACAAGCGGUGGAGCAUUGUGGUUUAAUUUGGAAGCUACGCGAAGAACCUUACCAGGUCUUUGACAUACUAUGCAAAUCUAAGAGAUUAAGACGUUCCCUUCGGGGACAUGGAUACAGGUGGUGCAUGGUUGUCGUCAGCUCGUGUCGUGAGAUGUUGGGUUAAGUCCCGCAACGAGCGCAACCCUUAUUAUCAGUUGCCAGCAUUAAGUUGGGCACUCUGGUGAGACUGCCGGUGACAAACCGGAGGAAGGUGGGGAUGACGUCAAAUCAUCAUGCCCCUUAUGACCUGGGCUACACACGUGCUACAAUGGAUGGUACAACGAGUUGCGAACUCGCGAGAGUAAGCUAAUCUCUUAAAGCCAUUCUCAGUUCGGAUUGUAGGCUGCAACUCGCCUACAUGAAGUCGGAAUCGCUAGUAAUCGCGGAUCAGCAUGCCGCGGUGAAUUCGUUCUCGGGCCUUGCCCACACCCCCCGUUGUGCCAAGAGAGU